Penaeus chinensis is the source of this 201-nucleotide small nucleolar RNA. RefSeq annotates it as small nucleolar RNA U3. NCBI's taxonomy places the organism in Eukaryota, Metazoa, Arthropoda, Malacostraca, Decapoda, Penaeidae. The transcript has a single exon. The record is from RefSeq and is a predicted model, not a curated record.
UAUAUCUUACUUUUUAGAUCACUUCUAUAGGCGAUUGCCGUUUCUCGCCGAAUUCUCGGAAUAUAUGUCAACACGAUGGAGACAGUUAGUGGUAUCCUCUGAGCGGGAAGCUGUCUCACGAGUUUUACUUGCGAGAAUUGAUGACCGUAUCAGACUUCGGUUUACCGAUGUAUCAGAGGAGGAUGACCAGGGCUGAGUGUU